This is a long non-coding RNA of Cyanistes caeruleus (blue tit), 899 nucleotides long. The record is from Ensembl. Lineage: Eukaryota; Metazoa; Chordata; Aves; Passeriformes; Paridae.
AUGCGUCAACUUCUCUGUUCCCAUCUGAUAGUUGACAAUUCCACCUUAAGAGUAAUUGGUCCUGCUUUGAACCUCUGCAAGCACUGUGGGAGGAGGGUGGGCACUUUAUUGACUUGGAUUGAUUUUUGCAGGAAGCACAUGAGACAGACUCGGUAUCCGAUGUUGCACCUGGGAUACAUCACACUCCUCAAGAACAUCUGCAGGCCACAAGGGGGGUUCAGGAGGAUGUGGAGGAGGCCAUCAAACAACCCCAUCCCACCAAGUUGGACCUGUCUGCGUGGUCUCCUUGGAGAGAGGCUCUCACCCUUGGAGAGCUGGGACCACGUUCAUGGGCCAGAGGUGUCUUGCCUAAAAGCAGCCAGCAGUAACCCCUUGCAUACACACAGGGUAUGUGUGUAUAUCUGUAUGCAUAUCUCUGUGUGUGUUUAUAUAGAUAUAGGUACACAUUUGAAUCACAGAAUGGUUUGGGGUGGAAGGAACCUUAAAGCUCAUCUCAAGCUUCCACCCCCUGCCAUGGGCAGGGACACCUUCCACUGCCCCAGGGUGCUCCAAGCCCCAUCCAACCUGGCCUUGGGCACUGCCAGGGAUGGGGCAGCCACAGCUGCUCCGGGCAAUCUGUGCCAGGCCCUCCCCACCCUCACAGGGAAGAUAUUUUUCCUAACAGCCAAUUUAAACCUCCUCUCCAUCUGAAACCAUUCCUCCUUGUCCUGUCUCACCAGGCCCUUGGAAAUAGUGUCUCCAUGUUCUGUUGCGGGCUCCCUCAGGUACUGGAAAGCUGCAAUUAGGUGACUCCAAAGCCUUCUCUUUUCCAGGAUGGACAAUCCCAAUUCUCUCAGCUUUUCCUCAAAGGAGAGGUGUUCCACCCCUCCAAUCAUUUUGCUGGCCUUCCCAUAUAUACA